UCUCUCUCUUGUUCGAUUGAGACUCGCCCCCAGGGGAGGCUCGGGGAAACCUAUCCCCCGAUCUCUUGCGGAAAACGAGGCAGCUCAUCCCGCUCAACCGCUUACUACUCGAGAGCGGGAGA
Telopea speciosissima is the source of this 122-nucleotide long non-coding RNA. RefSeq lists it as uncharacterized. Lineage: Eukaryota; Viridiplantae; Streptophyta; Magnoliopsida; Proteales; Proteaceae. The record is from RefSeq and is a predicted model, not a curated record. The transcript has 3 exons.